RNAcentral lists this ribosomal RNA (418 nucleotides) under Leiolopisma telfairii. RNAcentral's name for it is "partial 16S ribosomal RNA". It matches the Rfam family "Bacterial large subunit ribosomal RNA", at positions 1969 to 2589 of the family's 2925-position model. The record is from RNAcentral. Lineage: Eukaryota; Metazoa; Chordata; Lepidosauria; Squamata; Scincidae.
UUGUCUUUUAAAUAAAGACUAGUAUGAACGGCUAAAUGAGGAUAAACCUGUCUCUUAUAAUUAACCAGUGAAACUGAUCUUCAAGUUCAAAAGCUUGAAUAAACACAUAAGACGAGAAGACCCUGUGGAGCUUUAAACCAACCCUAUAGCCUCUAAGCCCAUAUGGGGCCAGUUUUAAGUUGGGGCGACUUCGGAACAAAACAAAACUUCCGAGCACAGAGCCAACCACUCCCCCUCAGACUUACAAGUCAAAGGAAGACACCGACCCAGUACCACUGACCAACGAACCAAGUUACCCCAGGGAUAACAGCGCCAUCUUCUUCAAGAGUCCCUAUCGACAAGAAGGUUUACGACCUCGAUGUUGGAUCAGGACACCCAAAUGGUGCAGCAGCUAUUAAAGGUUCGUUGUUCAACGAUU